AGAUUGAACGCUGGCGGCAUGCCUAACACAUGCAAGUCGAACGGGAGUAGCAAUACUCUAGUGGCGGACGGGUGAGGAAUACGUAGGAAUUUGCCCUUAAGUGGGGGAUAACCCGGGAACCCGGAUUAAUACCGCAUGACCUCGAGAGAGCAAGGUGGGGGAUCGCAAGACCUCACGCUUUUGGAGAAGCCUACGUCGGAUUAGCUAGUUGGUGAGGUAAUGGCUCACCAAGGCGACGAUCCGUAACUGGUCUGAGAGGAUGAUCAGUCACACCGGAACUGAGACACGGUCCGGACUCCUACGGGAGCAGCAGUGGGAAUAGUGGACAAGUGGACGCAAGCCUGAUCCAGCAAUGCCGCGUGUGUGAAGAAGGCCUUCGGUUAGUAAGACUACGUUAAGUUAGGAAGAAAAACGUACGACGUACUAACAACACGUAGAGUACUGACGUAACCGACAAGAAUAAGACACCGGCUAACUACUGUGCCAGCAGCCGACGGUAAC
This 501-nucleotide ribosomal RNA is filed under the name uncultured soil bacterium. RNAcentral's name for it is "bacterial SSU rRNA". It matches the Rfam family "Bacterial small subunit ribosomal RNA", at positions 26 to 524 of the family's 1533-position model. The record is from RNAcentral.